RNAcentral lists this long non-coding RNA (1390 nucleotides) under Bos grunniens (domestic yak). Its description in RNAcentral is "lncRNA (ENSBGRG00000020193.1)". The record is from RNAcentral. Lineage: Eukaryota; Metazoa; Chordata; Mammalia; Artiodactyla; Bovidae.
GAAAAGUGGACAUGAGACCAAAAAAUUAUUAUUUUUGGCUGUCCGCAUCAAAUAAGUAAAAACUUGAGUUUCUGGAAUUCCAAAUGAUUGUCUGGAUGCUGUUCAGUUGUGCUAACUAGACCAGAUUUUUGGGGUCAGUCUCAUUUGGCUUUGUUCAGCUACACAUGGCUUCAGUAUAAAACAGGGCCAAAAUGAAAGAAUACGCUUCCUUAGUCCACAUUUUUUACUUGGUGAAAAAAUGAAGAGCUUCACCCUCAGGGUUACAAUGACAACUUUCUCCACUUUUCUCAGAAGUAGUUGAAAAGUAUCUUGUCAGCAUCAUUGCCUGCUUUAACAGGUGCUGGGAGGGGGACAAGCAACCACAGGUGUAGGGCAUAGAAAAGUCAUCUGAAAAAAUGUCCUUAAAAAGUCCAAGUUUCUCGUCUGUUGUGUCUGUCCUUUGUAGACAAAUCAGUGUGCUAUGAACUGACAACCCAACUGAUAUGCCUCUGGCCUAAACCAACAUCACCAGCCCAAGCUCCUUUCUCUUACAACCUCUCAUACACUUCCAUCCCCUUGAUUCCAGUGCUUCUCAAGCAUUAAUGAGUGUAUGAAUCACCUGAACCUUGUUAAGAGGUAGAUUUUUCAUUCAAUAGGAUUGUGCUGGAGGGCCGCAUUUCUUACCCAUUGGUAGGAGAAGCCAGUGGCUACCGGUCUGCAGAUCACACUUUUGAGUGGUAAGGCUCUAUUUCUUUUAUAAUUGAUAGUUGAGAGGAUGAAGGUAGAUUUUGGAGGAAGAGAAGAGACAAUUGAUUUCUUUCUCCUUUUCCCACACGCUUCACAGUGAAACAAUUGCUUCAUUUCUUUGCCAACCACAAGAAACAAUUUUCAACUGGGACACUGAAGCAGACUCGAAAGGUGCUGUUCCACUCUUAGAAGCAGAAGAGUAUGAAGGCCCUCAUACUCCAAAGCAAGUAACCAGGCAUGGUAUUUUGUUUUUCUAUUUUUCUUUUUGGAUGGAAAGUAGGCAAAGGAAGGAGUUACCAUUGUCAUUGAACGUGGUCUUGAAUACCUUAAAGAGGGGCUGCUGCAACACAGUGUGGGAAGAUGGGGUAUGUAUAUAUUGAUGCGGUUCCUUGGAUCAUCUUCUGGUAUUUUCUUGAGAGCUGAGGAGUCUUAUUGCAGUAAACCCACUGGCAAUAUUAAAGCAUAUGAGAGUUCCAAACCUUAAGAAGCAAGUGACCUAGAGUGAAGUCCUAGCUAACGGUGAGAAAGUAUAGGAAUGGUGACAGAAGAAGAGGAAAAUAACUAUUGCCUCUACAUUUUAAACUAGGAAAUUGUCUCAAUAACUUUGCAUAUUAAGUCAUUUUAUGUAUCCUAGAAAAAAAAUUUUUAAUAAAUAUAUUAUGGA